Molecule: long non-coding RNA, 7159 nt
Organism: Cyprinus carpio (common carp)
Lineage: Eukaryota; Metazoa; Chordata; Actinopteri; Cypriniformes; Cyprinidae
Source: Ensembl
UAUCCAGAACCAUGGGUGUCAACGUUUCAGUAGUAAAUCAAACUCCUUACACCUGGUACUUUGACACCCAGGACAAAAGAGGGGUAAGAUCUUACAAUGCAAUUCUUUUUUCCUAGUUAGCAUUUCCUGUAAUUAGCCAGACAAUAACUGAGAGAAUGACAUAAUAUCUCACAACAAUAUCAGUUUAUAUUUACGUGUCUUUUUUUCACUGCUUUUCUGAUGGAAACUGAUGUAUAAUUCUGCCCCCCAGUAUAAACGCAUCGGUCCUCGCUGCAGGACAUCCUAUGAAGAGGCUCUGGCAAUCCAUCGCUACAUCUACAUCAGAUAUAAAAAUCACUCAUGGAAUAGUUUUUCAUAUGAGUUUAACACCCAUAAACGUAAAGGCGACACGUCUUUUAUCCUAAAAGAAACCCUCGACCGUUCCCAGAUUCAGUUGGACUGCACCUCUGAGGGCAGCACUCAUUACUGUCCCAACUACGGAAAAAUUGAAGAAGAUGAUAAACGGAGACAGCAAGAAGAGGAGAGAAGACGUCUGGAACGUUUGGAACGUGAACAAAGGAUUCAACAGGAGCUGGACAGAGAGAGUGAACUGUCCAGACGCAAGCUUUCUCGAGCAACUGAGCGGCUUCGUGAAAAACAGAGCUUCAGAGGUCAUGAGAAACAUCAUGAACGUACACAAGUUCUCCAACAGCAAAUAGAAGAUGAUGCUGCUGCUAUUGAAUGGAAUGAGGUUAUUAUUGUUGAAGAAAAAUUCAAAGACCUUUUAUUGAAGUACCAGAUCGCAGAAGAUAAAGAAAUGCAGCACUACCACGAUUUGGAGCAGGAUUAAGAUACUCCUGAAUGAAUUGCAGUUCAAUAUUGUAGAGAAAACAACCUUUCACUAUGGUCUCAGUUUACCUUUGAUCAAGCUGUAAGAUAUAACGAACUGUCUCUUACAGAGAAGCUCACAGUUCUUGAGGCAUCUCUACAGUUCAUUAUGCACAGUAGCACUGAAGAUGCUAAAGAUGAUGAAGAUCAGCCGCUUGGUUGGGAGAAGAAGUACGACUUUUUCUUGGGUUUGGUUGAGCAGCUUCAUGCCACAAGUCCAACUUUGGCGGAACACAUUUUAUUAAAUGUGCUUGACACAAUCUCAGAGCUUUCACCACAAAGUAGGGACAUUUUGGGUCAGAUGUUGUUCAACAGAAUCUGGACACCAACAGAAAUAAUGCUCUUACUUUGCAGAAGUCCAGCUAUCAAAUGCCAUCAACUCGAUUCAGUUCUCCACACAGCACAAACCUACCACCUGGACUGCAUCCUCGUUAUCUCUGCUCUUAUGAAUGAAAACCCUUUAAACUUUCUUCUAGAACAAAUAAAAAACGACAAGGAAAAAGAUGCUGAUACAAUUGUGAAGGAACUUCAUGAAGCAAACUGCCCAGAGAAAGUCUUGGUGCUGCUGAAGGAUGUUCUUAGAUACAUGGAGUCGGAACUCCCAAAACUAGGAACCAAGGAACAAAUUACUGAAUUGAAAGGAAAGAUAAGAUCUCUUAAUUUUACAAACCUAGAUAUCAACCUUUUGAAAGACGUAUUAAUUGGGAUGUCAAUAGCAGUGCAAGAGUGCUCAACAAUCAUCACAAAAGAAGAUAUGAAAAUUGAAGGCUAUUUUCCGAGACUUACACAGCUAGCAUCAUUGCUUUUGCUUCUUCUGACAGAAAAUAAAGGAUGUCUCCUAGAGAUUGGCACAGGUGAGGGCAAGUCCUGUAUCUUAGCCAUGUUUGCAACAAUUCUGGCUAUUCGUGGAACAAAAGUGGACAUUGUGACAAGCUCUCCAGUUCUCGCCCUACGAGACCAAGAAGAGUGGAAGAAGUUUUUUGAAAUGUUUGGUGUCACCUCAUCUGUAGUACCCCCACGUAACUCAAGUGCCUAUUCACCAGAGGAACAAGAGGAAUGUCUUAAAGAUGCUUACAGGCAGCAAAUAGUAUACGGCACAGUGGGAGCCUUUGCAGCAGACACACUUAAACAGGAAUUUGAGAAGAGGACUACUCGCGAUACAAGGCAGUUUGAGCUUGUAAUAGUGGAUGAAGUGGACUAUAUGACCUUGGACAAUGGAGUUCAAGUAACAUUCUUGUCUCAUGAAUCUAGUGGAUUUAGGCAUGUGGAGCAAGUUCUUUCCAACAUAUGGACCAUGAUAUCUAGUUGCCAACCAAUUGAAAUGAUUGAAACAGGAGAGGUAAAAUGGGCCACAAGGAUACAACACUUUCAUAAAGCCACAACGGCAGCCAUUAUGGGACUAGAAACAUCUGAGAACUUUUCUGCAAAUGAGAUCUUGUUGCCCGGAGUCACUUUGGGAUUCUACACCCACGAAGAUAUUGAAAUGAUACAUCAAGCUGAGAGUAAGAAAGAAAAUGAAGGUGAUGGGAAUGAGGACAGAAUGUCCACAGCACUGUCUGAAGUCAUGAAAAAACUUGGAGUUUUACAACAGUACGAUCUCUUGGGUAUAUUUGAGGAGGUCUUGGAAAACAGUGUGGUGUUUAAGUGCUAUUCUUUAGAGAACAAGAAAGCCAAAUGUUUUGAAGCUCAGGAAAAAGAAGGUGACCUUAAAGUUGAAAUGCUACUGCUGGAAGGAGGACUGGCAUGUGAAAUUAUGUCUGAGAAACUGCUCAUUGAUGCAACUGUAAGCACAAUAAAGUCAUCUAUCAAGUACUCAGAUAACCUCCAGACAGCCAAACAAUCCAACAACUUCAUUAUCAUCCCUGUUUUCUUGAAAAGCUACGUUGAGAAUCAGUUACCGGUGUUUGUCAAGAAUGCACUAAAGGCUGUUGAGAUGACAUGUGGCAGAGAAUACAUGAUCGACACCUCGCCGGCUGCUGAAAGAGACAUCGCCAACAGUCAAGACAGAGACAAGUAUAAUGCAGUAAUUCCAGUGGACUUCAAAGCAAGCGGUGUGCUGGAGAAAAACAAGAAGUGGGGUAAUGGUCUGCAACAAUUUUUAGAGUUCAAGCACCAACUUGCAAUUUCACCGUUAUCCAAUGUGACAAAUUACUUGUCAAAUUUCCAUUAUUUUAAAAGGUACCUCAGCGGGAGAGGUAUAUUUGGUGUUUCUGGUACAUUAGGAGGUAAAGCAGAUCAGGACUUUCUGGCAAGACAUUAUAAAGCAACAAGCUACAUUGUACCUGCACAUCGCCAUAAAAGGGUGGUGGAGCUACCAGUCAUCCAGGUGAAAGGUGGAAAUCACCAAUGGAUCCAGACUAUUUGUGAAACUUCAUGGAAAGUAGCAGAGAGAGGACAAGUUGUCUUGGUAAUUUGCGAAGAUGUUAAAACAGCAGAUGAACUAUACAAGAAAAUACAAGAUGAAGAAUACGGAAUAAAGGCAGAACAGAUUACUCUGUAUACGAUCAGUGAAAGGCACAACAUUGAAAGAGAGAAAUUCUGUGCAGGCAGAAUCAUCAUUGCUACAAAUCUGGGAGGACGGGGGACAGACAUAAAGGUUGAUGAAAGUGUGAAUAAGUGUGGUGGUCUUUUUGUUCUUCUUACUCAUUUUCCACACAACCGAAGAGUUGAGAAACAAAUAUUUGGUCGUACGUCUCGAAAAGGCAAUCCGGGGAUGGUCCAGAUGGUUUUGAACUGUGAUCAUCUCGCACCCGCUUACCAAGGUCAGUCUGUAGAAAUCAUGCGCCAGCUAAGAGAGGAUUAUGAAAUUAAACGAAUCCAAGACAUGGAAAGUGAUGAGCUGGUUGAGAUAAACUUAAAGGAAAAUCUGUUCUCCGGGUUUUGUGAAUUGCUGAAAGAGUUUGAUGGGUAUUACUCAGAGAAAGAAAAACAAGACCCCAUGCGAAUGCAGCUCAAUGAUAUUCCUGAUUGCUUUAAACAUCAUCAGCCUAAGUUUGAUUAUCAGCCUGCCAUCAAUGCUUUGAAAGAAUCUUGGGCCUUGUGGUUAACCCUUCAUGAGGAUCACAUCAAUAGGCAUGAUGACUUCGGACAGCUUGAAGCAGACCUAAUCAGGACAAUAAAUGAAACAAGUGGAAAGCUGCUGCGAGGAGAAUGUGAUAAUUUCUAUGAUCACGUCAAACAGGCAAUUGUUAGAACUGAACUACACUGCCGUGAAAAAUCCAAAAAUGAUUAUGGAGCUAAAUCCUGUUGGCAAAAAGUUGCAAAUGCUGACCCACACUACAGGGCUGUGGCACUGUAUAACCAGGCGUACAUCACUAUUAACCUCGGUAAAGGUAACUAUAAAGCAGAUGCUAUGAACAUGCUGGAAGACGCAAAGAAAUCCAUUGAUGUCUACAUCUCAGAUGUCUCAAACACAAUGGUCUCAUGUAACUUAUCAGUCACUGGAAACAAAGAUCAGAGCACAGAGAGCAACAACUUUCAGAGUCAAAUGGAGGCCAGAAUGAACAUCUUUAAGUCUUGGAUGACAUACAUUGAUAAUGCAUUGAUUAAACUUAAAGAGCUAGAAAAAGAUGACAGUGAUGCCAUUACAGAGGAGUGUUCAGUCUACAUGCUGUCCGAAAAAAAGAACUUCAUCAUCACUAAUGAGCUGAGAUCCUUAUACGACUAUGGCCUCGGUGUUGUUUUUGAGGUGAAAAAGAAGCCCAAGUUUUGCAUAGAUGCUUUGAUAUGUUUCAUUCUUGGCAUGGUACAGGUUCUUGCUGGGGUUCUUGUUUGCGCGCUGACACUUGGAACAGCUACCCAGUUUGGAUUGGGCCUGAUUUCAGAAGGAGUGUCUGACAUGAUCAGUGGAAUAGAGGGGAUGAUAAAGGGUUCAUUCGAUUGGGCGUCAUGGGCAAUAUCUAAGAGUAUCAGCAUUGGGCUUUCUUUGAUAACGGCUGGCUUUAGCAACAUCAAGAAAGCAGUUACCUCAGUGUUUAAAGUGACAAAAAGUCUCCUCAAUGGUACAAAAUCUUUUUCUUCUGUUGCAUCUGAAUUCAUCAAAUCAGGAAAGGCAAUGUUUACUUCAUUCAAAGGAGGUGUUCAGUCUGGUUUAUCAUCUGUCAGUAAGGAAUCUUUUAAAUCUGCGAUGAAAAACAUGACAUCAUCUACAGUGCUCAAACAGAACUUCAAAUCUGCAACAAAAUAUGCAGUCCAGGAAAUCGGAAAACAGUCUGUGCUCACUGCCAUGAACUACGCAAUGGAUAAAGCACUUCAGGAAGUCUUUAAGAAGAUUUUACAAAGCAGCUUUGAGAAUGUUGUUACUUCAUCGGUGAAGCAGAGCAGUAAACUCAAUCAGACUCUUGUGGAGUUUAUCAGCUCAGGCAUUCCGAAAGCUGCAUUGAAAAAAGAGAAUUUCAAGUUUGACCAGGCUUAUGAGAAGCAAAUAAAAAAAACAGUUGGUAUGCUCUGUGAAGUGGUAAUUCCUGACCUGAUACUGGACUGUACCACAGCACAGGAUGUUAUCAGCAAACUCUCUGAGGUGUGUGAAAAAGCAGAAGAGCUUAUGAAUAAAGCCAAACUGUCAGGAGUGUACGAAAUGACAAAGCUGGCUCUGAAAGUAGCUGAGUGCUCAGCAGGUCUUACUCAAAUAUUGGGUGCCAUACCAACAGAAGAGAUAAUACAACAGAUAUUUGUUCCUGAAUUAUUGGAGAAUAUCAGUGAGCUUCAGAAUGAAAUGACAAAAUAUGACCAAGAUGGACGACACAAUUUACAUGAUGUACAGCGCCUUAAAGGUGAACUUCUACAGACUAUCGCCCAGAAGGUGUCUGACCAAUUCAUCAGUUCCUGCUCUGAACAUAUAUCUUCUUUAAUGACAAGCACAUUUAAGAGUCACUUGAACAGUGCUGCAGGAAAGGCGCUGGACCACGUCAUGCGCAGACAUAAAACUCAGCGCUUCUUUGAUGACCAGAGGGAAAAACACAACAAGAGAUCUGCGAGCCACAAGGAAGUGGAACAGCUGUCAGAUGAGGACAAAACAGAGCUAAAGCAGUAUACAGAAGAUAUGUGCAAAGCUGAUCAGCCGACUACAGCCCUCGAUGUGUACGUGCUCACAAAAAGCAACCUGCUCGGUGGAAAAGGAAUUGAACUCACUGUCGUUGAUGAAAAUGGAAAACAGCUCACUGUGGAACGUUACCCAGGAACCAACAAAUCAGCAGGCAAUAUAAAAUUGAAAUUAACCAAACCUGCAAAAUCCAUACAUCCAUCACAAGCUGAUACACAGCUGUACAGUGGCCGUUUUGACAUUGUACAGGAUGAUGACAGGAUAGUCAGCGUUAACUCGGAUCAUCAGAACGCUCUUUAUCAUGCUGUAGCACAAGCAACUGGCAGCGAGACAAAGGACCUAAAUGUGGAAGCUUUGAUGCUACGUAAAAAAGUGAAAAAUGAGAUCUACUCAUAUUUACUGAUGUACUGAAAUCACUGGAUCAGGAUCGGGAGAAGUCCACGAGCAGAGGCUCAAACCUGGGAUGCCCAUAGCUCAACGGCGCUAUAUGUUGGCACAGUGCCCACGAGGCUAUCAGUGCGGACAUGAAUCUGCUUUCUAACAACAGUUGUUUAUCACUAAUGCGCAAUCAUCACUUAAUUAAUCAAUUAAUUAUCUCAUUUACUGCAGUUGCUUCGCUCUGUAGAUUGGACCCAUAUAGACACUGAGUAGUGUUUAUUGAACAGAGGAGUUUGCAGUGUAUCACAUCGUUACUUGAAUCUCCAAGGGGAUUAAUUACUAACAUACUAACAUAGGGUGUCCUCUGGGUACUCUGGUUUCCUUCCCCAGUCUAAAGACAUACGAUGCAGGUUGAUCAGUGUCUCUAAAUUAUCCGUAGUGUGUAACAUAUAUAUGUGAUUGUGUCCUGCACCCUGCCUUGUAACCCAAGUGUCCUGCGAUAGGUUCCAGGCUUCCUGCGACCCUGUGUAGAGUAAGUGGUACAGAAAAUGGAUGUAUGAAAACUCAAUUCCCAGCCAAUCAGUGUACAGUGUUACUCAGUCUGCAACAGAGGCUAGAGGAAGCUCACCUGUGCUCUAAAUUAGCUAACUAGCUCAAAUAAGCAUAUUUCAUGCUAAUUUAAUUCUUUCAAAUUCUCAUUCUCUCUGCGCAGUGUUGUAAGUGCUCGGAGGUCCAGUAAGAACACCACAGGGACACUUAACACAAGCCACAUUCCACCGAAGGACUCCAUCAGACUUGCUGCGUUUGUCAUAGAUAACCCAAACUCAGUGAGUGAGCUUAAAAAUAAAAACCUGCCGCUUUAUAAACUAAUCA